Molecule: long non-coding RNA, 2837 nt
Filed under: Mus musculus (house mouse)
Lineage: Eukaryota; Metazoa; Chordata; Mammalia; Rodentia; Muridae
Description: long non-coding RNA chr9:47964475-47967312
Source: RNAcentral
GAGUUAUUGACAGGUAUUCCUUCUUUCCAGAGACAGGAUUCUAACUUUCACUGGAACACCUCUGACCACUACACUAUACUUCACAAGUGCUGCUCCCAGACCAGUUUUUUUUUUUUUUUGGUUUUUCGAGACAGGGUUUCUCUGUGUAGCCCUAACUGUCCUGGAACUCACUUUGUAGACCAGGCUGGCCUCGAACUCAGAAGUCCGCUUGCCUCUGCCUCCCGAGUGCUGGGAUUAAAGGCGUGCGCCACCACACCCAGCUUCCAGACCAGUUCCUUGCAACUUAGAAACUACCUUUAAAAAAGAACUUAAAAAGUAUUUAUUUAUUUAUUUAUUUAUUUAUUUAUUUAUUUAUUUAUUAUUUGUUAGAGGGAAGGUGUGUGCCACCUGUGUGUAGAGAGGUCAGGGAACUGCUGUCUGACCUCUGUUCUUUCCUGCUACCAUGUAGGUUUCAGGAAUCACUUUCAGAUUAUCAGGUGAGGGGGCAAAAGCCUUUACCAACUGAGCCAUCUGUGGGCUCUCAUUAAGGAUCUUUAAGCAGAUGUUCUAUGUUCUUUUUUCUAGCCCUGGAACAUGGGUGAGGCAGUAUUUCCAAGUCCUGUAGAAUCAAAUGUAAAGAAAAAAACUUUAAAAUGCCCAGGAAGAGCCCUGGCAUGAAGUCCAGGAUUAGUUUUCUCCCCUUUCCUGACAAAAUAAAACCUGAAGAUUCACAUGAAACCAUCGCUUGACUAUCUGGGAGUGCACAGUAGAAGAGACAAGAGUUAGCACCAGCAGCUGCUGCUGUUAAAGGACCAGAGGUGAUGGUAGAAGGGUGGGGUAGCAAUGUCUUAGAAGAGUCUGCCAGUUGCUACUGGAAAAUUCCAUCCUAACAUCUGUGUUCUAUAGUCUAUUGAUGUUGAAUGCCAGUAGAGCUGGUUAUUGUCAAUGAAUGACAUCAUUAGUACAGUUGGGAGACCUAGGCUGGCAGAGCCAGGUCAAGGAUCCAUGUGUAGGCAAGAAUCAGGUGGUCACAAAAGGACACCCCCCACCCCCCAAUAUUCCCCACAGUCCCUCCCCCAGCCCAGAUAUUUCUUUAUUGUUCUCUUUGUCUAGUUUUGUACUGUUAGUAGCUGGGUGGUUUGCCCUCCACCCAUGAGCACCUCGAGGGCAAGUGCUAUUCAUCUUUGUUUCUGCAGCACCUAACAUAAUCCUGUGAAUGUUUGCCUUCACAACCCAAUGCACCUGGGGAGGGUGAGAGGAGCUGCUAUUUAUUAGGUGGCAUAAAUAUUCAAGGAACAUUACUUAAGUUAUCCGUUGACUCUUGACAACAUCCCUAUUUAUGGGAAAGUGGAGGAGGGAAUGCCACGUGCUGAACCUGAUCUAUGUGCCAGGAAUUCUACAAGGGACUUUAUACACAUAAUUUAAUCUUUUAAAUAAAUUUGCAGCCAGGCCUGCAGAAGAAUCCUGUAAUGCCAGCUACUUGGGAAGCUAGAGACAAAGACUGCAAGUUCAAGGCCAGUCUAGGUUGUAGACUACGUUCAACACAGGCAUGAUUCAAAAUAGACAGCAGAAGACGAACUGGGGAUGUAACUCAGUGGUGGAGUGUUAUCCUCUCAUGCGCAAGACAGUAGGUCCCAAUGCACCACCAAAAAAUGUUUUGCAUGGUAGGUGUGUUAUACUCAUUUCAACGACAGGAAUAAGGAGACUCAGACCAAAACAAAAACUAAAGAAAACAAACAAACAAAAACCAGAGAACAAACAAAACUUAAAGGUGGCAUAAUAGAUGUCAUAGGAAGAGUUGGAGUUAACAUGAUUUAAGCAUACAGGAGAAUAUCAUUGGGGUUCAGGCUUGGUUAAUGAGCAUAAUCCCACCGAUGAAAUGUCAAUAGCAAACAUGCCCUGGGAUGUCUCUGUAUUGGAAAAGAGAGUAACUCAGUGACUUGACAUGUGAAAUAAAAGUGAGUGGUACAAGACAGGGAAGGAUUAUUUCACAUCACCCUAUACUCAUAGGGAUUGAUCUUUGACAUUGGGGCAAAGGGAAUGUGUGGUGGUGUGAAUGAGAAUGGUCCCCUAGGCUCAAACAUUUGAAUGCUUGAUCCCCAGUUAGUGGAACUAUUUGGGAAGAAUUAGGAGGUGUGUCCAUUGUUAGAGGAGGUAUGUCACUAGGGGUGGGAUUUAAGGUUUUAAAAGCUCACGUCAUCCCAGUUAACUCUCUCUGCCUUGCAGUUGUUGCAUUAAGAUAUAAGCUCCCAGCUACUGCUCCAUCACCAUGCCUGGCCGCCUUCUGGAAUGAUUAUAGACUAAUCUUCUGAAAUUGUAAGCAAGCACCCAGUGAAUACUUUCUUCUGUAAACUGCCUUGGUCAUGAUGUUGCUUCACAGCAACAGAAAAGUAGCUAAAGAUAGAACAUGGUGGGAGUAUGUCAUAGUUUUAGUCAGAAGGCCCAUGGUCUAAUGAUUGUUCUAUGUCUGAUGACAUUAUUUUGUUGAAAUAUGGGGUCUUUAAGAAGUAGGGCUGGCUAAUAGAAGGAAGGUCGAAGAAAGACUUUUAGGGAAAGUCUCAAAGGCUUGUGUUGGAGUUGCGUUGCCUGCAGGGAGCCUCUGAGAAAGCUAUGAAUGAAAAUGUGAAGACUUCAGGAUAUUUUAGAGGCCAGUAAUGUGAGAUAUCUGAUAAAGAGAGUUGCAGGUUCUAGGGGAGCAAACCUAAGAGAUAAACCCAUAGAUGUCUGAGAUGUAGGGCCAUAAACUAUUGAUGUCUAAGACUGUUGGAGCCAUGUCAUGCCACCAUGUGUCCUAGAUGCUGGACAGGAAGCUCUGGAAUUUAAUGACUUUUUGUCUGCUGGAGUUUGGCUUUGCUUUG